GCUCAGGGUUUCUAGCUAAUGAUUGACGUGGGCACAAUUGCCAGGAAGGGGCCUUUUGUGUGUCUUGAGGGGAGCCAGGGAACAAGGAGCGUGCCAUGGCCCCUCUGCUCCCGGGUUUGCCCCAGCAUGCUGCAGCUCUCAUUUGCCCCGUGGCUGGUGACACGCAAUUCAGUCUUCCUCCUCCUCUGCAGUUUUAACUGAGCUCUGAACUGAUAGCCGAAGCCCUCAUUAUUUAACCUCACAAUGUGGUUUUGUGCUCCUCACCACUGCAUUUCAUCUCAGCUUGAGCCCAGGCAAUCACAGCCUAGAAGGUCACCCCAUUCUCUGUGGGAGAAAUCCUGCUCUUCUGCUGUUCAAAAAAAAACCAACAGCAGCAAUCUGCUCUGUGUGUCUGCUUUUUGUGCAUUAAUGCAAGGAACAAAAAUAUGAAGUUUGGUCCUCAGAUCCACCUUUCUGCCUGUUCUCUGGUAACUCCAGAGGUAUCCCACCUGCUCCUUUGUGGUACACUUCCACAUACCCCAUAACCUCAUCCUGACCUCCCUUGCCAAGCCUAGGUGACACCACCCCACAGGGCAACAGGUCAAAUGUUUUUGCUGCCUGGGUAGACUAGAUCUACUGUAUUUCCUUUAUCUAGGAAGUCAGCCAACUUUGAAAAGAUUGAUAUUAGCCCAUGCGUGAUUACCUUCCAAGCAAGUUUACUGUGCACAUUAAUCAUUCCUUUGUACUUCACGUCUUCAAUUUUCUUCAAACAUCUCCCGAAGGGUUUGCCCAGUACUAAAGUAGCAUAGCUUGGAUGGGUCCUAAAUGAGUUUUUCUCCUUAAGUAGAUUUUUGUAAAUUGUAAAAAAAAACAAAACAGUUUUCUCAAUCAGAAUCCUAACUUUGCCAAGUUUUAAUCUUUCAUAUUCUGUACUCACUAAUCAAAACCCCUAUUUGCAGAUCUACUUUCAGUGUGAUUUAAACAGAGUGAGCUCAGGUUGAAUCAUACCACGUUUAUUUUCUAAAAGAAGUACAUCUCCAACACCCCUCGCACUUGAAAAGCAAACUAACAAUAACAUGAUUUUUGGGAUUACUUAAUGGAAAACUCUAUUUGCUCUCACAUCCAGUAGCUCUGCUAAUAUUAGUACUUUGCAGUAUGCAUCCACAGAGUUAAAAUCUCCCCAGAUAUCAACAUUUCCAACUAGAGAGGUCUCUAUUCACAUACUGUGUCUGAUAUUCAGCUCUGAUAUCUCCUGCGUUGUUCCUUAUCUCAAUAUCAUCAAAUGUCAAGGACUUCAAACCUUUGGAUCAACAUAGCUCUCAACUACAAGGACCUCUAUUCAUUCUGAUUACAAUAUCCAUCUCUCUGUGCCUAUUGCAGCCAAGACUAUCAUCAAUUAGUGCUUCCUGGCAGAGGAAAAUGUGUCUUGACAGCUUAAUUGCCAGACUCUGUAAAACCUGUCAUGGUCAAGAAAAUUCCUGCCAAUGUCCACAAAGAUGACACCUGAAUCUUAUCAGCAAGGAGACAGUAUUUGCAAACUAAAUCUGCAGUUAAGAUAGAUUGACUCAGCAUGUUCUAUCAAGAUCACAGCAAUUGUCUUCCAGCUAAGUUAUUAAAUUCAAGGAAUGUUUGCUAUAGGAUACAGAUUAAAGGAACAGAACAGCAAACACCUGUCAGUAAUGUAGGGAAGGAACUGACAUCUAGAAAAUAUCGCUGCAGCUGUAGCUAUGCCUUUGCUAAGACAAACAGCACUGGUCUUGGGGUCUCUGCAUAACGCACAAGCAGCCCCAUGCUGCAGCCCUGCAGGCAAGCUGGCUGCUCUGUGCAAUUAGGAAUUAGGAAGAGCUUUUUCCAUCAGCUGUCUGUCCAUCUCAUCCUCUUUGCUCAUUUUCACUUUGCCAGCAGCGUUAGCCUGUGCUAACACCACAGUGUUUCUUUCCGGCCCUUCAGCAUCAAGGUAAACUGUGAAUUUUCAUGAGGUUUUGUAUCUUGCAGUUGGUUGUAUUGACAUCUUACUGCCUUCAGUGACCUACUCAAAAAGAGUCUCAUACCUUCAUGCUGGGGAAGUACUGUAGACCUCUUCCAGCUCUUUGUCAUGUACUGCAGUCCUGGUUGGAGGGCUGCUUAGCAAGAAGUCUCCUGCAGAGGGCUGAAGAAGGGCAGGUCCCAAAUCUUGGACAAGAGCUCUGUGUAUCAGGGAGACUUGUAGGGCAGGGAAAUGUACCAAAAGGUACUAAAUAGGAGCCCUAAAAACCUGAGAGAAAAGCCUGUUCAUCAGACUCCAAGUAUAAAUCAGAUGGGUCACAGAACUGAACCUGUGAUAAUCCAGGGAGAUAAGGCUGAAACCCUCAGGGAUCCGUAUGCUGUGGUUGCUUGGAAGGGUUCAGCAUCCUAGGGAUGUAUGGACAGCCACGAGACAGCUCUGCAGCAGACACAAAGGGUCCUCCUACACAAACAGUGCAAGGCUCCUGCAGAAGCAGUACCACAGCAUCACGCUGUCAUACAAUCAUCGCUUUCCACAUCGCCCUGCAGCAUGCACAGACUGCUGCUGUGUUGGCCAUGGGAGUUGGUGGGCAGAGCUGCUAGACUACAGGGAUUGGGAAAUAGCAAGGGAGUACAAGGUCUGCAAAGGGUUUUGCCAGAAUCAACAGUCCUCAGAGCACCAUUUGCAUGCCCCUAAGGAUUGCAUAAGUACCUGACACCUUUUAUGCAAAAAAGCAGGAGGCUCAAGGCCCCUGCAGGGAGCAGUUGAGCUCAAAACCCAGCUGUGCUUGGGAGAAGUUGAAGAAACGCUGUGAGAAGCAGAAGAUUUGUGAGAGGCCUGGAGGCUGCCAAUUCGUAACACCAGUCCUGCAAAGCCUUAGAAAACACUGUGAGCCACAUGGGGUCAGUGGGUCUUGGCAGAAGAAACACCUGUAAUAAAGCGCAAUUUACAGCAAACUGAAGACUUCCCAGAGUGCUGAUACCUUUCCAGAUUCAUACAGGACUGCUAUGGUCUCUUUACAGUGUUAAAGGGCACCACAAAGAGAACCCCAUGGAAAUAACACAUUGCAUCGCUCACACGGAGCCCUACCUGGAGGUCAGCUGCAGGUCAGCUGCUUACAGCACUGCUGGGGACAGACAUCGCCUGCAAGCCACCGGAUAAACUGCAAAAAGAGGCCCAACAAGAGGAAGGAAUGAUGGAAGGCAGCAGUGGGUAAACCUGCUAAAAGGAAGGAGUUAGCAUUGCUACCUAUGGUAGGCUCACUAACUACUGCACAGGCAGCUUUAGCAAGUCACUGUUGUGUGCCUUCUUAGCAGUUUUGUAAUCUGAUUAAUAAACCCUUAUGCCAGCUAUGAUUUCUGUGGAUAAUUUCUGCUGGUAGCAGGAGAAAUUCAGAAGGUGCUCAAAUCCAGCAAAAGAGGCUACUAGGGCACCCUCCUCAUCAGUCCAUUGGUUUUGGAGGACAAUUAAUGCAGGUUUUAUGGGUGAUUAUUUCAAAAUCUAAAUGCUCGAAAUCACUACAAGUUAUAAUAGCGCUCUCAAGUGCGCCGAUUUUCAUUUGCAAGAACUUAUUUUAAGCCUCAAAUUGCGUACUGCUUUUACAAAAAUCACGUAGAGGUCCUUGCACACAAUUUUAGCUGGAAUCAGCGAGCAGACAUCAUUAGUGAACAUUUUUACCAUCUGAUAUUCAUCCUCCUCAGAAGGUAUAAAUAACAUUCAAGGAUUCACCCGCUCAAAGGCAGAGGAAUCUUGCAUCCCUAAAAACAGCUAAAUUGGACCCAACUGGUGACUUCUGCCAUGCAUAACUGUGAGGUGGGAUUUUCCAUAGAAAUAAGCAGCAAUAACGUAUUUCUAAACCACAGUGUUUGCACACAUUAAAAAAAAAUCAGCACACAAAAUAUUAAUCUUGUGUCAAAGCCUGCUGAUAAUCAAACCGUAGACAGAUAAAUGUGAUACAUGCGGAAGUACUUUAUGAGAGUAAAAAUCGAUUUUCAUUAGCUGCAUUAAGAAAAAAAAGAUCGCGAUAACUUAAUUGAAAAGAAAAAAAAUCAAUAUCUGUGGAGGGAGCCAAAUUAAUUGGCAUUGAAUGAAAUUCUGCCAAAACCUGAAAGUCACUCCGGCCUUAUCUACAACAGAGAGUAUUUGCAGAUCAGGUCACAACUAAAGUGGACUCAAACACUGUACGUUCACUCAAGGUCUUCUGGAAAUGUCCUGCAAUAAAGUUUAUACAAAUAAGAACAUAUUUGCUUUAAGUAACAGCCAUAAACGAAAGAACAGGAAAUACACACGGCCCAUCGGGUAUUGGCUGGAAGAGGCCAUGACUGCAACAGUUAAACGUCCUGCACUCCAGGAUUGGUGCGUAGGAACAGGAUUCCAUCUGUGGGCUCUCUAAUGCAAACUAAUUAAAAUCUCCAAACAACUCUCUGAGAGACCCAAGAGCUGUAACAUCUUGGUAAAACACAAAAUGGUGAGGAAUCCCAGCCCAGGCACAACUGAGGGAAUCCUGUCUUGUUUUCAGUUGCCAUGGUACACCCAAUCUUGUCUGUCUCCUGCAGCGUGAGCACAGCCACCAACAGGUUUGGAAUGGGAGUAAACGUCAGUGUUUCCCUGGGGAUGAAUAUUCAGUUUCUCAGCAGUCCAUGCCAACACUGAGGUCAGUCCCAUAUACCCAAGACACACAAAUUAGGACACCCUGGCUCCAAAUCAAAGCUCUGGAUGCUGCUGAGCUGCCAUGAGUGGGAAGACAAAGCACCACUGACAAAUCUUUGACUCAUCUACUAUAGGAGAAUCACACAAGAUUCAAGACCUUUCCCAAAAGAAUGCCACUUAGGGAAUAUAUUUCCUUCCCAACCAAAUCCCUGGAUAUCAUUCGGGAAAAUAGGUCCUUAUGAUUUAUACAAUUGCAGUCUUUUUUGGCCUCACCAAAAUCCCAGGAGAAAAGCCACGUGUUUUCCCAGACAUGUCACUCUCCUACCAUACAGUCUGGAUAAAACAUGGAAAUUAUGUCUCAAAAUGACUUAAAUCUGAGUCUGAAGUGUGCUUACACAUGUAGACUACAUGCACCCUGCUAACAGGGCUCUGAUGAUCCCACCAUAGAUACAGGAUCCAGGCUGGGACUCCAGCACACGCCCAGAACAAAAAACAGGAUGCC
Meleagris gallopavo (turkey) is the source of this 5114-nucleotide non-coding RNA. The record is from RefSeq and is a predicted model, not a curated record. NCBI's taxonomy places the organism in Eukaryota, Metazoa, Chordata, Aves, Galliformes, Phasianidae.